GUUAGGAAUAUUGGACAAUGGGCGAAAGCCUGAUCCAGCCAUGCCGCGUGAACGAUGAAGGCCUUCGGGUUGUAAAGUUCUUUAGCCGAUGAUUAUAAUGACUGUAGUCGGAAAAUAAGCCCCGGCUAACUUCGUGCCAGCAGCCGCGGUAAUACGAAGGGGGCGAGCGUGAUUCGGAAUCACUGGGCGUAAAGCGUGCGUAGGCGGGUUUGUAAGUUAGGAGUGAAAGCCCAGGGCUGAACCUUGGAAUUGCUCUUAAAACUGCAAGGCUCGAAUCUCGGAGAGGAUAGCGGAAUUUCCAGUGUAGCAGUGAAAUGCGUAGAUAUUGGAAGGAACACCAGUGGCGUAAGCGGCUAUCUGGACGAGUAUUGACGCUGAGGCACGAAAGCGUAGGGAUCAAACAGGAUUAGAUACCCGUGUAGUCC
This 425-nucleotide ribosomal RNA is filed under the name uncultured bacterium. RNAcentral describes it as "partial 16S ribosomal RNA". It matches the Rfam family "Bacterial small subunit ribosomal RNA", at positions 354 to 796 of the family's 1533-position model. The record is from RNAcentral.